Molecule: ribosomal RNA, 798 nt
Filed under: Streptomyces sp. DB12
Lineage: Bacteria; Bacillati; Actinomycetota; Actinomycetes; Kitasatosporales; Streptomycetaceae
Description: bacterial SSU rRNA
Rfam family: Bacterial small subunit ribosomal RNA
Source: RNAcentral
UGCUUACACAUGCAAGUCGAACGAUGAAGCCGCUUCGGUGGUGGAUUAGUGGCGAACGGGUGAGUAACACGUGGGCAAUCUGCCCUGCACUCUGGGACAAGCCCUGGAAACGGGGUCUAAUACCGGAUACGACACAGGAGGGCAUCUUCUCUGUGUGGAAAGCUCCGGCGGUGCAGGAUGAGCCCGCGGCCUAUCAGCUUGUUGGUGGGGUGAUGGCCUACCAAGGCGACGACGGGUAGCCGGCCUGAGAGGGCGACCGGCCACACUGGGACUGAGACACGGCCCAGACUCCUACGGGAGGCAGCAGUGGGGAAUAUUGCACAAUGGGCGAAAGCCUGAUGCAGCGACGCCGCGUGAGGGAUGACGGCCUUCGGGUUGUAAACCUCUUUCAGCAGGGAAGAAGCGCAAGUGACGGUACCUGCAGAAGAAGCACCGGCUAACUACGUGCCAGCAGCCGCGGUAAUACGUAGGGUGCGAGCGUUGUCCGGAAUUAUUGGGCGUAAAGAGCUCGUAGGCGGCUUGUCACGUCGGAUGUGAAAGCCCGGGGCUUAACCCCGGGUCUGCAUUCGAUACGGGCAGGCUAGAGUUCGGUAGGGGAGAUCGGAAUUCCUGGUGUAGCGGUGAAAUGCGCAGAUAUCAGGAGGAACACCGGUGGCGAAGGCGGAUCUCUGGGCCGAUACUGACGCUGAGGAGCGAAAGCGUGGGGAGCGAACAGGAUUAGAUACCCUGGUAGUCCACGCCGUAAACGUUGGGAACUAGGUGUGGGCGACAUUCCACGUCGUCCGUGCCGCAGCUAAC